CUCCUUCUUCCUUUUCGCUGAAAACUCCACAUCCUUCUUCACCGGCUCCUCCAUCACCAUCGCCAAAAAGCUCCACACCAACUUCAUGACGGAAAUCGAUGGUUUGGCCUGGUGAUGUUCCAAAAGAAUCGCGGCAAAAGAAUCAAAUAAGCAGUUGAUUGUGUCAAUAGGAUGGCGGCUGCGAUGACUUAGUGGAGGCGACGUCGUAACAGUCGUGGGGAGGGGAGGAGAAGUAGUGGUGGUUGGUGGGGGAGGUGGAUGCAAGAGAGAUGAAAAAUGAAAUGGGCAGAGAUGAAGUCACGGGAGAGAAAGG
RNAcentral lists this long non-coding RNA (313 nucleotides) under Daucus carota (carrot). RNAcentral describes it as "long non-coding RNA (DCAR_LNC000983)". The record is from RNAcentral. Lineage: Eukaryota; Viridiplantae; Streptophyta; Magnoliopsida; Apiales; Apiaceae.